CCCUCCUUUUGCGGGGCACAGGCUCCAGACGCGCAGGCUCAGUAGUUGUGGCUCACGGGCCUAGCUGCUCCGUGGCAUGUGGGAUCUUCCCAGACCAGGGCUCGAACCCGUGUCCCCUGCAUUAGCAGGCAGAUUCUCAACCACUGCGCCACCAGGGAAGCCCCCUCUUCCAUUUCUUGUUCCAUUACUACAUUGACUAUUCACUGCUCAAGACAUGUCAUCUGUGCUUUUUUCCAAGGUUCCCUUGGAAAUAUCUUCCUUCAAGGCUCAGCUUAAAUAUUUUCCCUCCAUGAACCCUGCUCUUUUUUCCUCCAAACUUGAACUACCUCCAACUCCGUUAACCAGGUCCAUGCUCUAUCACCAGCUCUUGACCGAAUAUUUUUUUUAAAGGAAUUCCUUUAUUUUUAUUAUUUUUAUUAUUUAUUUAUUUUUAGCUGUGUUGGGUCUUCGUUUCUGUGCAAAGGCUUUCUCUAGUUGCGGCAAGCGGGGGCCACUCUUCAUCGCGGUGCGUGGGCCUCUCACUAUCGCGGCCUCUCUUGUUGCGGAGCACAGGCUCCAGACGCGCAGGUUCAGUAGUUGUGGCUCACGGGCCUAGUUGCUCCGCGGCAUGUGGGAUCUUCCCAGACCAGGGCUCGAACCCGUGUCCCCUGCAUUGGCAGGCAGAUUCUCAACCACUGCGCCACCAGGGAAGCCCUCUUGACCGAAUAUUUGCAAAAGCUCUCUAGCUAGUAUCCCUGCUUCUUGCCUGUCUUCUACUUGUUUCUCCAUACUACCACUAGAACUGUCUCAUACAAUCUUAACCCCUCAUCAUGGCCUAUAAGAUCUGGCUCCUGCUAAUGUCUAUUGGCCCAGGAACUGUGCUAAGAACUUUACUUGAAUUAAUCCAUUUAAUCCUAUGAGCUACAUACAGUUUAAAAAUUUUACAUCUUUAUUGGAGUAAAAUUGCUUUACAAUGUUGCUUUAGUUUCUGCUGUAUAACAAAGUGAAUCAGCUAUAUGUAUACAUAUAUCCCAAUAUCCCCUCCCUCCCCUCCCUAUCCCACCCCUCUAGGUGGUCACAAAGCACUGAGCUGAUCUCCCUGUGCUAUGCAGCUGCUUCCCACUAGCUAUCUAUUUUACAUUUGGUAGUGUAUAUAUGUCCAUGCCACUCUCUCACUUCGUCCCAGCUUACCCUUCCCCCUCCCUGUGUCCUCAAGUCCAUUCUCUGGGUCUGCAUCUUUACUCCUGUCCUGCCCCUAGGUUCAUCAGAACCAUUUUUUUUUUUUUAAGAUUCCAUAUAUAUGUGUUAGCAUAUGGUAUUUGUUUUUCUCUUUCUGACUUACUUCACUCUGUAUGACAGACUCUAGGUCCAUCCACCUCACUACAAAUAACUCAAUUUCAUUUCCUUUUAUGGCGAGUAAUAUUCCAUUGUAUAUAUGUGCCACAUCUUCUUUAUCCAUUCAUCUGUCGAUGGACACUUAGGUUGCUUCCAUGUCCUGGCUAUUGUAAAUAGUGCUGCAGUGAACAUUGUGAUACAUGUCUCUUUUUGAAUUAUGGUUUUCUCAGGGUAUAUGCCCAGUAGUGGGAUUGCUGGGUCAAAUGAUAGUUCUAUUUUUAGUUUUUUAAGGAACCUCCAUACUGUUCUCCAUAGUGGCUGUAUCAAUUUACAUUCCCACCAACAGUGCAAGAGGGUUCCCUUUUCUCCACACCCUGUCCAACAUUUACUGUUUGUAGAUUUUUUGAUGAUGGCCAUUCUGACCGGUGUGAGGUGAUACCUCAUUGUGGUUUCAAUUGCAUUUCUCUAGUGAUUAGUGAUGUUGAGCAUUCUUUCAUGUGUUUGCUGACCAUCUGUAUGUCUUCUUUGGUGAAAUGUCUAUUUAGGUCUUCCACCCAUUUUUGGAUUGGGUUGUUUGUUUUUUGAUCUUGAGCUGCAUGAGCUGCUUAUAUAUUUUGGAGAUUAAUCCUUUGUCAAUUGCUUCAUUGGCAAAUAUUUUCUCCCAUUCUAAGGGUUGUCUUUUCAUCUUGUUUAUGGUUUCCUUUGCUGUGCAAAAGCUUUUCAUUAGGUCCCAUUUGUUUAUUUUUGUUUUUAUUUCCAUUUCUCUAGGAGGUGGGUCAAAAAGGAUCUUGCUGUGAUUUAUGUCAUAGAGUGCUCUGCCUAUGUUUUCCUCUAAGAGUUCUAUAGUGUCUGGCCUUAAAUUUAGGUCUUUAAUCCAUUUUGAGUUUAUUUUUGUGUAUGGUGUUAGGAAGUGUUCUAAUUUAAUUCUUUAACAUGCAGCUGUCCAGUUUUCCCAACACCACUUAUUGAAGAGGCUGUCUUUUGUCCAUUGUAUAUUCUUGUCUCCUUUGUCAAAGAUAAGGUGACCAUAGGUGCGUGGGUUUAUCUCUGGGCUUUCUAUCCUGUACCAUUGAUCUAUAUUUGUGUUUUUGUGCCAGUACCAUACUGUCUUGAUUACUGUAGUUUUGUAGUAUAGUCUGAAGUCAGGACGCCUGAUUCCUCCAGCUCCGUUUUUCUUUCUCAAGAUUGCUUUAGCUAAUCGGGGUCAUUUGUGUUUCCAUACUAGCUCCCUUCAGGCUGUCUUCACAUAGCCAACCUCAGUCCUCUCCCUGGGGUCUGACCUCUGAAGCCCGAGCCUCAGCUCCCAGCCCCCACCCACCCCAGCAGGUGAGCAGACAAGUGUCUCAGGCUGGUGAGUGCUGGUUGGCACCAAUCCUCUGUGUGGGAAUCUCUCCACUCUGCCCUCUGCACCCCUGUUGCUGAGCUCUCCUCUGUGGCUCUGAAGCUCCCCACCCCCCCCAUCCCCACCAGUGAGGGGGCUUCCUAGUGUGUGGUAACUUUUCCUCCUUCACAGUUCCCUCCCAGAGGUGCAGGACCCAUCCCUAUUCCUUUGUCUCUUUUUCUUUUUCUUUUUUCUUUUGCUCUACCUGGGUACCUGGGGAUUUUCUUCCCUUUUGAGAAGUCUGAGGUCUUCUGCCAGCGUUCAGUAGGUGUUGUAGGAGUUGUUCCACAUGUAGGUGUAUUUUUGAUGUAUUUGUGGGGAGGAAGGUGAUCUCUACGUCUUACUCUUCUGCCAUCUUGAAGGCCUCCCGAGCUACAUACUUUUAAUAUCCUCACUUGCAGUAGAUACUGUUGACCACCCACCCAGAUCCCUUUUACAGGACUGGUGCACCCACAGCCCAGCUGCUGCAGGUGUUGGCUAAUAGAUCACACCUCCAUCUUACCUGGAGGAUUGCCCUUGACUGAGGAGAGGCACCCAGCCAGCCCUCCAACUCCUCCUUCCCACACCACAGGUAGUCAAGGACUGCCUGAUAUGGGAACAUAAUAGCCUAGCCCCUCAACUCUGGGCAGGACAACCUCUGUGGUCCAUCCAUACUGCAGAGUGCCCUGCUGGGUCAGGCUGAGGCUGAACUUCUGAAAACUCUUUUUCCCCUGCCAAAUGCUGUUUUCUUUACUCCCUUAUAGAUUUCUUCUAAGGGCACUCCCUCAAUAAAUACUUGCCCAAGAAUUCCCAUCUCAGGCAUGGCUCCAGAGGAACUGAUUUUACAGAUGACGAAACUUGAGACAGAGAAGGGUAAAGUGAUUUGCCUAAGGUCAAACAGAAAAUGGGAAAGCUGAAGUUUGAAGCCAGACAGUCUGGCUCCCAGGCUGCGCUCUUCCCCACCAGUGUAAUGACUACUUCUCCAACCUCCUUUCUGGCCAAAUUAAUUCCCGCCUCAGGGCCUUUGUACUCCUUAUUCUGCCUAGAAAGUGUUUGUGAAAUUAAAUUCAUAUUUUAUAGUUAGACAAGAAAAACUUACAUAUAAAAAUUUUGUCUUUGGCCUCCUGUCUCCCUGCUACUGUGCAUCGUGUAUCUGCAUCAUGCAUCAGCCAAAAGUCCCGCAUCGGCAGAAAUACCUGCUCAACCAUAAAGACAUCAUUCUCCUAGCAUCAACAAGACAACUCCUUCAAAGAUAGUAUUCCUUCUUGAUCUUGUAAGGGGCCAUGAUGAUGCUUAGAUCUGGAUUGUGUAAACUGUCAAUAAUGCAUCACUUAAUGUACAGCCCUCUGUCGCAAAAAACUUAACGUAACUGUGCCUUGACUUAACAAAUGGGUGGAACAGUACUCAGAGCUUUCUGAGAUGCUCUUCCUGGGUUAUAAUCCUCAAACUUGGCUUGAAUAAAAUUUUCCAUUUCUUCCUUAAAAGAUUGACUGAUUUAAUUUUUGUCGACAUAUACUUGGCAUAGUCGGCAGGAUAUCAGACACCUGACAGAGGACACAUGGAGUCUACCCAGAACCAGCACUGGGUACCAGCAUGGGCCCAUUGGGCCCCACUGGUUUCUCGGUACUCCUCAGGUGUUUUGAUGAGUUCUUCUGAUAUUCGUAUCUCAUUUUUUAGGUGAUGAUGGAUCCUCAAAAUUUUAUUUGGGCUGGUUUUCACUUAAGACUUGGAAUCUUAAGGGGCACCGGUGCAUUUCCUAGGCAGGGCUUACAGGGUCUGGGCAAGAGGUCCAGGGAAGCAUAGGUGGCUGGGUUUUUGUUAAAUUUGGCUUAAAUUUUAAAGAAUGAGUUGAUACAUGGUCCGAACAAAACUUCUACUACUGAAAUGAGAGACUGAAUUAUUCACCUUGGAAGAAUAAAGGGACAUAUUGCUCCUUCUGGCCACAAGGCAGUCAUAUAGGGGAACCCCACUAUGACCAUAAAGUACAUAAAGUAAGUACUGCUCAACCACAGGGCAUAACAGAGGCUGAUAACCUAGCCCCCCAACCACCCAUGACGGUUUUAGGCCAUCAUAGGGAGAAACGAAGCCACAUAAAAGAAGUCGAACCCAUCCAAGGAUAACUCCUUGGGGAGCUAGACUCAGAAGCAGCACACAUGUGAUCCACCACACUGUCCUCAGAAAGUUGUUCAGAUCAUAUGUCAUAUCUGAAUUAGGCUACGAAAUUAAUACUGGGAAAUUGUGCCCGUGCAAACAGCCACCUGUGGGAAUACCAGCUGGGUUUACAUAUGCUUGCAAGUACUCAGUUGGGAACUAAAGGAAAUCGGGCCCUGAAAUGGCCAAAUUGGGGUCCUUUUGACACUCCAAAAUGAUUUUGAGUGUGAAGUUAAAGCCGGCAGUCUUUUGGAUCUGUGCCUGCAAGGUUUACUGGAAACAACAGUGGUAAUAUUUUUCUAAAAUUAGAUUAGCAGGGGAAAAUAUUUGUAGGGCUAGCUCCAUGGAUCCUUUGGAGAAACAUCCAAGUUGUUAAAAUUUUAGAGAGCUCUUAUCUAUCUUAAGCUAUUUGUACCUAUUUUAACUGGUAUGUAGAUGCCCCAAAAGAUUUCAAAAUUCCAAAAUAGCCUCAUUGAAAGAUUUGUUGAAGGCUAAUGAAAGUAAUGAUAUAAAAGGUACCUAAAACUUUAACUACUGUUUCCCUCUAUCCUUCUUUGAGUACUCAUUCUAGUAAUCUUCUGAAUUGCCUUUCUACUCUGAAGACACUACUAAAUGGUUACCUUUAGAAAUGGGACCACAUGAGGCUGUAGGCAAGCCUCUUCAUGUCAAAGGCCAAACUGAGGGUCAUAGUUAAACCCAGGGAGGAUCCUCAAAAGUGUUUGUAAGUGGAUUCCCAAAAUGGGAGGCCACCAAUCUGACUAAACUGACCAUAACUGAUAUUUGGAGCCUGAUAGGACUUGUUUUCGGGGGAGGGGCACUUCUCCCCUAAGCUAAAUGAGGGAAAGUAAAAUAUUCUAACAUAGAUGAAUGGGUGUGUCAGUCCUUUGAUAUCAUUGAGGUGGCCACCCAAUUCUUUGAGGAAAAAAAACUGUCCUUAUUUUACAAGUCUAGUCUUUACAGGACCAGAGGUGUGGAUCCAGAAAUAAUCCAAAGCCUACCAAUCCUUUUACCACUCCCCAAACCUCCCCUACUUAUCAUAAGAGGCUUGUAAGUAUUGAGGGAAAAAAAUUGUUUUCUGGCCUUAUGGGAACAAAGUCAUCCUAGGAGGAACUUGCCUUUCUCCUCCUAUGCCUUUGAGAUGCAAAUGUUUUACCUGUCUUUUCCAGGAACGCUUAUCUGUGCUGUUUUUAAAAUGCAAAUUCCAGGAAAGGGGGUAGGUAAUUUGGAACUUGUCAAGGACAAAUAGAAAUCUUAAGUGUCUUUUCCAUAAAUAUUAGUAAAAAGUGUUUAGCCAUAGACAGGUGACUUUGAUUUGUUCCAUCUGCCAGAAACCCAAUGUGAAUCCAACCUCUUUUGUAACUCAUCGAUUUUAUAUUGUUGUACCUGAUUCAUGACUGAAAUUUUGGAAUGGGAACUGAGGUCUCUGUGUGUGUUUGUAUGUAGCUAUAUGUGUGUUGUAGAUGUGUGUUGCAGAUGUGUGGUAUUGCCAAAAUUAAUUUGUAAAAGAGCUCUACUUAAUUGGCUUAAAGGAAAUUAAGUGUUUACAAAAAUACUUGGAAAUAUAAAAGAAACUGGCCAGAAUGAACUUCAUGUGAUCUGGAAAAUAUUCAGUAUUGAAUUAAUAUCUGGUAUUAAAGUUAGCCUAAGCUUGUUGGUUUGAUUAAUAUGGACACGUCUUUGGAAAAGAUGUUGCAGGAAAGAGUGGGGCACGAAAGGAUGGUCAUGUCCCAGGUCUCGGGCGAGUGCCUGGAACGGCCACCAAGUGUCGGUUCUUGGCUUCGCGCAGGAAAGAAUUCAAGAGCGAGCCAUGGUAAAGUGAAAGGUUUAUUCAGGGAGGUACACACUCCAUAGACACAGUGUGGGCCAUCUCAGAAGGCAAGAGGCAAUGGGAGACACACACUCCACAGACAGUGUGGGCAUUCUUGGAAGGUGAGAGGCCCCAGGGUAUAGGGCUGUCAGUUUUUAUAGGGGUGGGUAAUUUCAUAGGCUAAUGAAUGGGAGGAGUAUUCCAGCUAUUUUGGGGAAGGGGUGGGGACUUCCACGAAUUGGGCCACUGCCCACUUUUUUGACCUUUUAUGGUUGGCCUUGGAACUGUCAUGGCACCUGCGGAUGUGUCAUUUAGCGUGCUGAUGUGUUACAAUGAGUGUAUACUGAGGCUCAAGUCGACUUGUCUGCCAUCUUGGACCUAGUUGGUUCUAACCAGUUUAUGAUGCGUCCUUGGGCUACGUCAUUCUUUUAAAGGUUGUGCCCUGCCCCUUUCCGGUCUGAGUCAUCAAUAUUAAAUAUAAUACUUUUACUGUACCUAGGUUUACUAGAAAUCAAGUAAGACCUUAUUACUGUUAAAAGUUUGUCAGCAAGAAAAAUAAUGGUAUGAAAACUUUUAAGUAAAUAAAAUAGAGGUAAAUGAGAUAAGAGCUUUAGGUAAACUCUUUAGGAAUAACUGUUUUGGGAAUGUCUACUUUAAGGAUAAUAUCUCCAGAUUUUGGUAACCUGAAACAAAACUAAGUUAAACUACGAGAAUUUCUUCACUAUCUGGGUCAUUACAAGUAGGAUAAAAUACUAGAACAUUAAUUGAUUGCUGGGCAGGCCUAAGUUUACCUACUUUUGUCUUAUGAGAAACUGAAGAUGUUUAUUAGAUACAUGUCUUGUAUCACAUUGAGGAAAGAAAUUCUAUAAGACGGUGUAUGUUUCUAGAGGUUAUAAAAUACGUUCAUAAUUGUCAAUCAGGAAAUGCUGGUAUGACAGUUUAUAAUUACUUGCUUCUUGGUUUUUGCUAGAGAUUAAGAUUCUAAGGUUAAGAAUUAUAUGGGAAACAUUUCAGUAUGCAAGGAAAGUAGGAUGUGUGUUUUCAGCAAAAAAAGAGGAAUGAAAAUGCAUUUUGUUAAAAAAGGUCAUUUUGUCCUAGAGCUGGUUGUUUCUAAAUGGAUACAUAAAGUUGUCAAAUGUUUGUGGAAAGGGAACACUGAGAUUUUGUACAUGAUCAGGAUUGGCUUAGAUAAGAUUGACCUUAAUUAAGAAAGUGAAUUUUAAAAGUAAAGUGGUACAAAACCUGAAUUUGGUUCUCUAAAAGGACAAAGUUUUCUUAAAAUAUUGAACUGUUUUUGAUAAUAGAUUGUGAGUUUCUUUGUGUUUAAGUGAUCUGUAUUUGCCAGUGAGAUCUUUUAUUGUCACUUUAGUUAAGUGAAUGGGUAUUGUUUCACAGUGACCUGUGAUUCUAUUUGACCAAGUGUUGUAAAACUUCUUGAUAUUUUUGACAAACAUCCCAAAGAUAAAAUCCUAAAUGAAGCUCAUUUGACCUCUAGCUAAUUUUGAAGUUUUACAAAGGGUCCCUAGAAUACCUCAAAAUAUUUGUUUUCCCUCCAUCUCAGAGAGAGGACUAUUAAACUAAUUAGGCUUAUUUGGUAUGUUAAAGUACAUGGGAAGCAUUGUCAAAUAAGUGGUGAUAAAACUUCUUAGAUUGUAUCCUAUGGGUAAAUGUUACCAACAUACAUAUUCUAGAAAUUAUAUGGAACUCUUAAAAUUCUGGUAGGUCCUGGUAAAUUAUAUCCGUCAUGAUUUUAGUAAUUAUCUUAAAUUGUUGUGUGUCACAGCCGUAACCAAGUUUUCCAAUUGCAUUAUAAUCAGGUCUUUAACCUUGAUUUUUUUAAGUCUUUUGACAUUUAUAGGCAGUUAUCAUUGUACUCUUUUUGCAAAAUGCUUCAUCUUCAAGAAGAUCCACAGAAAGUACUUUUUGACAAGAACAGAUUUCUGAUAAUUUUCACAUCAUACUGCUGAACUGGGUAAGAAAUUAGAAUUCUAAUAAACUGGAUGGCUUCAUGUAACUGUUACCAAAAGAUUAAGAUCAAGGACUAGUCACAUAGGAGUGGGUGAACAGACUAUGGUUAUAAUUUUUGGUUUUUGUCUGAAAUAUUACUGGGUUUUAAUCUGUUUUCCAGAUAUAAGGAAACCUUUAAAAUAUACCUCUGUAAGUAGAACUGAAACCUUAUCUUUUCUCUCUACCAGAUGCCUCCAGAAUUUGGAAACUCUUAGGUUCCCAGCAGCUUUAUCAGGCAUAUAAGGAAGGCCACCUCCUAAAAGUUUAUCACAGUAAUCUAACUUUGGAAGAAGAUCAAGAUGCAUCAUGACCUGCAACCAGGUUACGAAUACUGGAAAAGACAUCAGAUAAAGGACUCUUUUUGGCCACUUCGGAAGGGACCUUAUCAGACCUCUACAACUGAAUGAACUGCAACUCCAAUUUCUGACACCUGACUUAGACUAAGACCAGCACUACCAGAUCAGGAUGAGAAUAUUACAUGAGAAGUAGACAGCUGACCCAAGAUGCCAGAGCAGGUUGGUUAAGAAGAUAAAAAACUGGUUUCCCUUGGGCUCAAGGUCACCUAUGGCUACCGUGGAAACAGCCCCUGUCAAUCUGUAAUGUGAGUACUCUGGUUACUAUCAGUUUUCCAAAUGGCAUUACCAUUUAGCCAUGAUAUUUGUUUACUCAUCUUAUGACCCAUGAAGUGUCAGAUUUCUGCUCUGAACAAACCCUCUUCCCAGUUUAGGGGAAAUACUAGGAAAAUUGUUUUGUUCAGGAGGAUUUUGGCUUAAAUCUUUGCUAAUGAUGUUGCUACUACUACCAAUUUAGUUUGUGGAACUUAUAAGUUGAUACUUCCCUGCCUUUCACGCUGUGUCACCUACUCAUACUAAGAUAAUGUCUAAAUGACUUGAAAUUAUAGAUCACAUCUGUAGUUCUAUGUAAAAUAAAGGACAUACCCCACACAUGAGGAAAAUUGGCUUAAGUCUUACUGGACAACUUAGAAUUGAAUGUUAGUCCUUGCCAAACAUCCUGCUAGUACAACUCCCCCAAAAGGAGAGAAUCAGGCCAUUAAGACCUGGCAUCAAGGGCCAGGCAAGCAGCCACUCUGGUUUUGAGGGACCAAAUAUUUGAUCACCUAACAACACUUUCUACUGAAAGAUUAUUUCACACUUCCCCCCACCCCGCCAUUGAUCAUUAAAGUUCAUAUUUUACGGCAAGACAAGAAAAACUUAAACUUUUCUCUGCCCUUUGGUGACCUCUAUCCCCACUACUAUGCAUUGUGUAUCUGCAUUAUGCAUCGGCCAAACCUUCCCCAUUGGCAGAAAUACCUGCUCAACCAUAAACAGCAACACUCUCCUAGCAUCAAAAAGACAACUCCUUAAAAGAUAGUAUUCCUUCUUGAUCUUGUAAGGGGCCACGAUGAUGCUUAGACUUGGAUUGUGUAAACUGUCAAUAACACGUCAUCUAAAUGUAUAGCCUUCUGUCUCAACAAACUUCUAUAACUGUGCCUUUACUUCACUUCUCAGAGCUUUCUGAGAUGCUCUUCCUGGGUUGUACUAUUCAAAUUUGGCUUGAAUAACAGUUUCCAUUUCUUAGGUUGACUGAUUUUGUCGACAUCUCAUCGUGGCUUGCUUCCUCACUCAUGUCAAAAUGUUUCAAAUAUUACCUCCUCAGAGACCUUUCCUGACCCCAACUGUCCUACCUAGCAUAGCGACACUAUUCCCAACAACUCAGUUUUACUUCUAGCAUUUAAUAUUUGAAAUUAUAUUAUGCAUAUUUAUGUUUUGUCACUCACACUAAAAUGAAAAUUCCCUGAGGGCAGGAAUGUCUCGUAGCUCAUUCACCGCUAUAUCCUCGAUGCUUGGUAACAUGCAUGGCACAGCGCAGGAAGGAGUGCUGUAACUGUUGAUCGAGUGGAAUGAAUUCUCUUCUCAGAACUCUUGCAGGGCUUGUAGAGAUCUUCUUGCAUGUUCUUAAUCCAGAACUGUAGUUAUUUAAUGCUUAUUCAUCCCACAAGCCUGUAUGCUCUCAGAGGACAGGAAUUAUGGCUUAUUAAUUUAGGGGUACACAGGAGGCAUUCAAAUCAUGGCACUACCUCUAAAACUCCAAAUAUCAACUGUAACUUGUCUUUCCAUACAGGAACUACUAUCAGGAUUUCAUAUGAAUAAUAGUAUUAUUCAGAAGGAGGAAAAUACAUCACAUUUAAUUUAUAAUGCAUUCCUCUGCAUGUAACGAGAUACAGUAAAUACAAUUAAGUACUUAUCUUUAUUUUUAAAAUAAAGCCAUUUUCAAAAUAUAAAAAAUAGACCUUUUUUCAAAGAACCAUUUAAAUAUGGCUUUGAGAGCCACAGUAUUUUAUUUAUAACAAAUAGAUGGUACUGCAAAAAGCAUUCAUAGAUGUUUACGUAAAUAAAAAUGUUAGUAUCAUUCUGGCACCCUUUUGGGGCAGGCCUUUAUAUUUAUAGAAAAAUUACUGUAACUCAAAAGUAAAAUCAAUAAUGGCCUUUAGUGUAAUUUGUAUUUAAACCUGAAUUUGAGCAACCAAUGUAGAUUGGUCACUUAUUUGGGAUCUGGACCCAUAUAUCUGAAAUCUGAAGUAGAAAGUUAAAGCUUCUCAUUUCCAUACAGUUUGUCAACAAAUGUGCCCCAGUCAUUCUAGUAUCUAUAUAAGGUGAUCUAUUAGCAACACCAGUAAGUGACUUAUAGACAAAUAUGCUAAGUAAGGGCUGACACAGCUGGAUCCUAGUUCAGAUUUUAUAAACAGACACUAAGUAUCUAUGCCGAAAACUAAUGUGAUCCAGGAUUACAUUUUAAAUUAUGAAAGAGCUUCUGGGAAAAAAAUGUGAUGGAAUGACAACAGAUGUCAGGUACUUCUCAAAUUAAGAGAAGUACAUAACUGCAUUCCAAAUGAAGUAAAACAAAAGCACAUUUACAGUGGAUUUUUUUCCCCACCAAACUUUCCCAUUUCAAAAAUGGUCAGGAUUUGGGCAACAUCUUUCCCAGCAAACUCUUGAAACAGCAAUGACAUCUUU
Balaenoptera acutorostrata (minke whale) is the source of this 11653-nucleotide long non-coding RNA. RefSeq lists it as uncharacterized. Lineage: Eukaryota; Metazoa; Chordata; Mammalia; Artiodactyla; Balaenopteridae. The record is from RefSeq and is a predicted model, not a curated record. The transcript has 3 exons.